Molecule: ribosomal RNA, 402 nt
Filed under: bacterium
Lineage: Bacteria
Description: partial 16S ribosomal RNA
Rfam family: Bacterial small subunit ribosomal RNA
Source: RNAcentral
UGGGGAAUUUUGCACAAUGGGGGAAACCCUGAUGCAGCGACGCCGCGUGAUUUAGAAGGCCUUCGGGUUGUAAAAAUCUUUUCUAUGGGAAGAAAAUGACAGUACCAUAGGAAUAAGGACCGGCUAAUUACGUGCCAGCAGCCGCGGUAAUACGUAAGGUCCGAGCGUUGUCCGGACUCAUUGGGCGUAAAGGGUACGUAGGCGGGUAAGCAAGUUAGAAGUGAAAUCCUAUAGCUCAACUAUAGUAAGCUUUUAAAACUGCUCAUCUUGAGGUAUGGAAGGGAAAGUGGAAUUCCUAGUGUAGCGGUGAAAUGCGCAGAUAUUAGGAGGAAUACCGGUGGCGAAGGCGACUUUCUGGCCAUAACCUGACGCUGAGGUACGAAAGCGUGGGUAGCAAACAGG